AUACGUAGGUGGCAAGCGUUGUCCGGAAUUAUUGGGCGUAAAGCGCGCGCAGGUGGUUCCUUAAGUCUGAUGUGAAAGCCCCCGGCUCAACCGGGGAGGGUCAUUGGAAACUGGGGAACUUGAGUGCAGAAGAGGAUAGUGGAAUCCCAAGUGUAGAGGUGAAAUGCGUAGAGAUUUGGAGGAACACCAGUGGCGAAGGCGACUGUCUGGUCUGUAACUGACACUGAGGCGCGAAAGCGUGGAGAGCAAACAGGAUUAGAUACCCUGGUAGUCCACGCCGUAAACGAUGAGUGCUAAGUGUUGGGGGGUUUCCGCCCCUCAGUGCUGCAGCUAACGCAUUAAGCACUCCGCCUGGGGAGUACGGUCGCAAGACUGAAACUCAAAUGAAUUGACGGGG
This 397-nucleotide ribosomal RNA is filed under the name uncultured bacterium. RNAcentral describes it as "partial 16S ribosomal RNA". It matches the Rfam family "Bacterial small subunit ribosomal RNA", at positions 523 to 918 of the family's 1533-position model. The record is from RNAcentral.